CGAUCCACCCCAUCCCCUCGUCUCGUCUCUCCCUCAUCGUCGUCUCCACAGAUCCGAUCCACGUUCGAUUCCCCCCACGGAGCAGCCUCCGAUGACCCCAACCACGGCCGCCGACCCCAACCACGGCCGGCGAGCAACCCUAGCACUGGUGGCGGCUGUCGGCGCCACCUCCCUCUCCUUUCUGGCCGGGGAUCCACCUCUCGGUUCCUCCUGACCCCAACCCCUCGCUCCCCCUCCCCACAAACACCUCCCUGUCUCGUCCUCCUUCCUUCCAGACCGCUGCCACCUUCCUCGCCUCCAAUCCCCACCGCUGCUCAAGUCGCUCAAGGACGAACCGAACAAAUCCCCACCGCCGCUCAAGUCGAUCGAAACCUUAGACUUCCCCACCGUCGGUCGGCGCUGCCACAUCCCACGACCAGCCCGCCGCCUCCAUCCCUCGCCUGUGGCGAUGUCUUCCCUGUUCCAGAGAAGCUUGCUCGAGCGCCUCCACCACGUCGAGAAGCGGAUAGUGCAGGCGCUGGAGCUGGCGGGAUCGGUCAUGGGGGAGCUGGGAAACUCGCAGGGUCCCCGCGCCGGGGUCGUCAUCGACUGCUGCCGCGAGUUCAUGCUCUGCCGCGAGUUCUGUGCUCAGAGGACCCUGCUAAUGUAUGAUUCAGAUUUCGCAUUGGUUAUCCUACCAGGCUGGCUUACAAAAGCUAAAACUGCGAAGCUACCAAGCGCCACUGCUGUUGCAAGUGACAUCUGAAGUUUUCACUCACCGCUAGGGAUAGAGGCCUCUGGUGCAUACAAAUGAAGAUUGCUGAUAACAAAUAUCAGAACAGGAAACUGGAGUUUUGUUGCCCGUCUCUGUUUCCGCAUUUGUCCUUGUUAUGGUCAGAGUGCUAGAGCGUGGCUUGGCAAAGCUGUCGUACAAUGGGAGCAAGUUCAUCCUCAUCUGUAGCUACUAUGCGACUGCCGCACUGCAGUCUCCAUUCAGUUCCUAGAGCAUCUAAAUCUGUUAUUAUUGUAGCUGGUAUGCUUGAUGCGUGUAACCCCGUCUCUUUGCUCUUUUGGAAGAAUCGUAAAUCCUGAUGCAUGCUGCAUGUAUCCCUGUCUCUUUGGUGUUGUGCAAGAAUCGUAAAUCCUGAUGCAUGCUGCAUGUAUCCCUGAUUAUAGAACUAGUACUACAACUUUUGCGCUGUAGCCCAUGCCUCAUGUUGGUGUGUAUUCUAAUGAAUAUUUUUCAACCUGAUGCAUGAUGAUCAUGAUUUUGUAGACAACAAGUACCAUUCCCCAUUCAAAAUCCUGAUGCAUGAUGAUCAUGGUCUCGUUUUUUAGAUCUGUUUUGCUGGUGCUUAAAAUUUUACAUGCCUGAAUGAACUCAUUCUUAUAGUUCUUUUUUAUUUCUAUGAUCAAUUUAAUUAAAGUUUCAGAUGUUAGUAUACUAUACAUUAAAAAAUCCUAGCUAGUGAGAAUAUUUUAGUCACUCCAUAAACACAUAUUGGUUAGUGUUAGUCAUACUAUUUACAUGUUGUGUUUUCCACAAUAACAUGAUUAAUUAGGUUCCAUCCUCAGCUUUAGCGUCUUCUUCCAAAGGUUCUAAUCGAUUAGUACCGUCAACAUGUACAUAUUAUACUAUUUUGUUCCCUCAUUGGAUACUAGUUUGUUCUUAUUUUUUGCAUAGGUGAAAUGUGAAGCCAAGCGUGAAGUCGUGAAGCCUAUAUGCAAAGAGUAGCAUAUCAUGUAUUGUAGUAGUAGAUUGUAGUAGGCAUAUUUGAGUUGUAGCAGUGUGAAGAUUGUAAUAGACUAAUUUAGUGUUUUUUUGGACGAAUUUUAUUUGUUCUGUGAUCUAUUCAAAAUAUUGAUUUCGUA
RNA transcript from Hordeum vulgare subsp. vulgare (domesticated barley), 1851 nucleotides. It is a transcript of the gene named mediator of RNA polymerase II transcription subunit 11-like, with no coding region annotated. The record is from RefSeq and is a predicted model, not a curated record. The transcript is spliced from 4 exons. Lineage: Eukaryota; Viridiplantae; Streptophyta; Magnoliopsida; Poales; Poaceae.